Non-coding RNA from Cinara cedri, 294 nucleotides. Lineage: Eukaryota; Metazoa; Arthropoda; Insecta; Hemiptera; Aphididae. The record is from the annotation of a GenBank genome assembly.
AAACAAUAAAUAGUUGAUUUAAUAUAUUAGAUUCUAAAAGAAGCAAAAAAGCAUAUAAUUUUACAAAGAUUGUUUUUUUUUUUUUUACUGUACACAACUUUUCUCCCAGAAGCUUUUCUUUUCUUCCAGAAAGCUUAGUUUUUUAAAAAUAACAAUUUUUCUGAAAGGAAAUCGGUGUGAGAGGUACUUUAAAGGGGUCAUUUUUCGAUUUUCUCAAAGGAUUUCUCAUCUAAUAAGAAAAAACGAUAAAAGAAGACGGGAAAAUGUACGAAAUAUAUUUAUAUAAUAUUACGA